GCCUCCUAAAAGGUAACGGAGGCGCUCAAAGGUUCCCUCAGAAUGGUUGGAAAUCAUUCAUAGAGUGUAAAGGCAUAAGGGAGCUUGACUGCGAGACCUACAAGUCGAGCAGGGUCGAAAGACGGACUUAGUGAUCCGGUGGUUCCGCAUGGAAGGGCCAUCGCUCAACGGAUAAAAGCUACCCCGGGGAUAACAGGCUUAUCUCCCCCAAGAGUUCACAUCGACGGGGAGGUUUGGCACCUCGAUGUCGGCUCAUCGCAUCCUGGGGCUGUAGUCGGUCCCAAGGGUUGGGCUGUUCGCCCAUUAAAGCGGUACGCGAGCUGGGUUCAGAACGUCGUGAGACAGUUCGGUCCCUAUCCGUCGUGGGCGUAGGAAAUUUGAGAGGAGCUGUCCUUAGUACGAGAGGACCGGGAUGGACAUACCUCUGGUGUACCAGUUGUCGUGCCAACGGCAUAGCUGGGUAGCUAUGUGUGGACGGGAUAAGUGCUGAAAGCAUCUAAGCAUGAAGCCCCCCUCAAGAUGAGAUUUCCCAACUUCGGUUAUAAGAUCCCUCAAAGAUGAUGAGG
Molecule: ribosomal RNA, 566 nt
Filed under: Staphylococcus aureus
Lineage: Bacteria; Bacillati; Bacillota; Bacilli; Caryophanales; Staphylococcaceae
Description: partial 23S ribosomal RNA
Rfam family: Bacterial large subunit ribosomal RNA
Source: RNAcentral